RNAcentral lists this ribosomal RNA (706 nucleotides) under uncultured Pasteurella sp. RNAcentral describes it as "bacterial SSU rRNA". It matches the Rfam family "Bacterial small subunit ribosomal RNA", at positions 99 to 801 of the family's 1533-position model. Lineage: Bacteria; Pseudomonadati; Pseudomonadota; Gammaproteobacteria; Pasteurellales; Pasteurellaceae. The record is from RNAcentral.
CGGACGGGUGAGUAAUGCUUGGGAAUCUGGCUUAUGGAGGGGGAUAACUGUGGGAAACUGCAGCUAAUACCGCGUAUUCCCUGAGGAGGAAAGGGUGGGACCUUAGGGCCACCUGCCAUAAGAUGAGCCCAAGUGGGAUUGGGUAGUUGGUGGGGUAAAGGCCUACCAAGCCUGCGAUCUCUAGCUGGUCUGAGAGGAUGACCAGCCACACUGGAACUGAGACACGGUCCAGACUCCUACGGGAGGCAGCAGUGGGGAAUAUUGCGCAAUGGGGGGAACCCUGACGCAGCCAUGCCGCGUGAAUGAAGAAGGCCUUCGGGUUGUAAAGUUCUUUCGGUAAUGAGGAAGGGAUGUUGUUAAAUAGAUAGCAUCAUUGACGUUAAUUACAGAAGAAGCACCGGCUAACUCCGUGCCAGCAGCCGCGGUAAUACGGAGGGUGCGAGCGUUAAUCGGAAUAACUGGGCGUAAAGGGCACGCAGGCGGACUUUUAAGUGAGAUGUGAAAUCCCCGAGCUUAACUUGGGAACUGCAUUUCAGACUGGGAGUCUAGAGUACUUUAGGGAGGGGUAGAAUUCCACGUGUAGCGGUGAAAUGCGUAGAGAUGUGGAGGAAUACCGAAGGCGAAGGCAGCCCCUUGGGAAUGUACUGACGCUCAUGUGCGAAAGCGUGGGGAGCAAACAGGAUUAGAUACCCUGGUAGUCCACGCU